AGGGCAUCCCCACUCGAGUGGAGCUGCUGCAGCGUGCCCCAGGAGUGGCACAGAACGCACGCCAGAUGGCAUACAUCCAGCCUGGCAGCGGCGGCAUUAUCUCCGUCGGCCUUGCCCGCCUGGCUGCCAGCAUGAAGGUGGGCCUCCCUCUCCGCCACAGAAUGGCUGCUGUGUUCUUUCGGCACAGUCAAUAUCCAAUAUAGGGAGUGCAUGAGGGUGUGGUCCUAGGAAGCCUCGAGAUGCAAUGAGAUGCGAAACAAUACUAGGCUGCAGACUCUUGUGGGCCCCACAGAUGUGGCUGCAGACCCCCUACGUGUAUGCCCUAUGGCCUUUGGUUUUGGAUUUGCCGACCUGCCGACCUCAAAUGAUAAUGAUACUGAUAGUCGGGUCACAUGGGGGAGUCACAGAACAAGCAUAAACAGUGAUAAAACUCAUGCUGACAGGUGCCAGAAGGGUCAGCAAGGCCUGGAGAGGGGACGGACGGGGCACUGGCCAGCAUGCAGGCCCAUUUGGCUGCUGGCCGGCUGGCAGAGGCAGCCGAUGCCCUGGAAGCCGGCACCAAGGACACCGCUGCAGAGAAGGCUGCCUCGGAGUGGGCGCGUGAUGCGCGGGCCAGGGCCCUUGCGGAUCAGACCACUGCGCUGCUGCAGGCGCAUGCCUGCUCGCUUGCAGUCAGCCAGUCCUGAGGCCGUUCUGCUUGUCUUCCUUGUAGCUUUGGAUAGUCGGUGUAGGAAGGAUGCCGCAGGUUUGUGAUGCGUCCAUGGAUCCUAUUCCUUGUGUAGCUGCAGCUCCAAUCAACAUGCUCCUGCUUUCUACUUCUUCCAGAACUGCUGCUAGCUUACAGUGGUAAUAUCAUCAUGAUUGGAGGCAUUUGGUAGCUUACAUGGCUUCUGAUGCUCUGUCAGCAGACUCAGUCAGAAUCUCAGCUUCUCACACUGGACUGCCAGUCCAGUGGAGGAUGCAUCCAGUAGGUAA
Molecule: long non-coding RNA, 975 nt
Filed under: Coccomyxa subellipsoidea
Lineage: Eukaryota; Viridiplantae; Chlorophyta; Trebouxiophyceae; Coccomyxaceae
Description: long non-coding RNA (CSUB_LNC000072)
Source: RNAcentral